AUUGAACGCUGGCGGAAUGCUUUACACAUGCAAGUCGAACGGUAGAGGGGACAACCCCUCGAGAGUGGCGAACGGGUGAGUAAUAUAUCGGAACGUGCCCAGUCGUGGGGGAUAACGUAGUGAAAAUUACGCUAAUACCGCAUACGAUCUAAGGAUGAAAGCGGGGGAUCGCAAGACCUCGCGCGAUUGGAGCGGCCGAUAUCAGAUUAGGUAGUUGGUAGGGUAAAGGCCUACCAAGCCAACGAUCUGUAGCUGGUCUGAGAGGACGACCAGCCACACUGGAACUGAGACACGGUCCAGACUCCUACGGGAGGCAGCAGUGGGGAAUUUUGGACAAUGGGCGAAAGCCUGAUCCAGCCAUUCCGCGUGCAGGAUGAAGGCCCUCGGGUUGUAAACUGCUUUUGUACAGAACGAAAAGGUCUCUAUUAAUACUAGGGGCUCAUGACGGUACUGUAAGAAUAAGCACCGGCUAACUACGUGCCAGCCGCCGCAGUAA
RNAcentral lists this ribosomal RNA (496 nucleotides) under uncultured bacterium. Its description in RNAcentral is "partial 16S ribosomal RNA". It matches the Rfam family "Bacterial small subunit ribosomal RNA", at positions 30 to 523 of the family's 1533-position model. The record is from RNAcentral.